RNAcentral lists this ribosomal RNA (253 nucleotides) under uncultured bacterium. RNAcentral describes it as "partial 16S ribosomal RNA". It matches the Rfam family "Bacterial small subunit ribosomal RNA", at positions 524 to 776 of the family's 1533-position model. The record is from RNAcentral.
UACGUAGGGUGCGAGCGUUGUCCGGAUUUAUUGGGCGUAAAGGGCUCGUAGGUGGCGUGUCGCGUCGGGAGUGAAAGCCCGUUGCUUAACGGCGGGUUGGCUUUCGGUACGGGCAUGCUGGAGUGCGGCAGGGGAGACUGGAAUUCCUGGUGUAGCGGUGGAAUGCGCAGAUAUCAGGAGGAACACCGGUGGCGAAGGUGGUUCUCUGGGCCUGUACUGACGCUGAGGAGCGAAAGCGUGGGGAGCGAACAGG